UACGGGGGGAGCAAGCGUUGUUCGGAUUUACUGGGCGUAAAGGGCGCGUAGGCGGCCACCGCAAGUCGACUGUGAAAUCUCCGGGCUUAACCCGGAAAGGUCAGCCGAUACUGCGGGGCUAGAGUGCAGAAGGGGCAACUGGAAUUCUCGGUGUAGCGGUGGAAUGCGCAGAUAUCAGGAGGAACACCAAUAGCGAAGGCAGCUCGCUGGGACGGUAUUGACGCUAAGGCGCGAAAGCGUGGGGAGCAAACAGG
RNAcentral lists this ribosomal RNA (254 nucleotides) under uncultured bacterium. Its description in RNAcentral is "partial 16S ribosomal RNA". It matches the Rfam family "Bacterial small subunit ribosomal RNA", at positions 524 to 776 of the family's 1533-position model. The record is from RNAcentral.